This 369-nucleotide long non-coding RNA is filed under the name Mytilus galloprovincialis (Mediterranean mussel). The record is from RNAcentral. Lineage: Eukaryota; Metazoa; Mollusca; Bivalvia; Mytilida; Mytilidae.
CUUCCUGACUUGGUACAGGACACUUUUAAAGGGAAUAAAAGUGGUGGGUUGAACCUGGUUUUAUGGCAUGCCAAACCUCGCACUUUAAUGACAAAGUUAAAUAUAACAUUGAAAUGACAACAUAAUAUUACAGGACUACAAUACAAACAAAAAGGAGACCAUAUUAGACAAAGAAAAGCAUGAUUAAUAGACAACAAAAGCAUCAAGUUUAAAAUUCAAUACGCCAAAAAACGCGUCUUGUCCACACAAGACUCAAUAGUGACGCCCAGAUAUAAAAGAUCGAAAGUGAAAAAAGUACAAAGUUGUACAGCACUGAAGAUCAAAAGUUGAAAAGGUUUUGCCAAAUACGGCAUUGUUUGUAUGCCCGGG